This 438-nucleotide ribosomal RNA is filed under the name uncultured bacterium. RNAcentral describes it as "bacterial SSU rRNA". It matches the Rfam family "Bacterial small subunit ribosomal RNA", at positions 954 to 1392 of the family's 1533-position model. The record is from RNAcentral.
GCAUAACGCGAAGAACCUUACCCACCUUUGACAUGUACGGAACUUGCCAGAGAUGGCUUGGUGCUCGAAAGAGAACCGUAACACAGGUGCUGCAUGGCUGUCGUCAGCUCGUGUCGUGAGAUGUUGGGUUAAGUCCCGCAACGAGCGCAACCCUUGUCAUUAGUUGCUACAUUCAGUUGGGCACUCUAAUGAGACUGCCGGUGACAAACCGGAGGAAGGUGGGGAUGACGUCAAGUCCUCAUGGCCCUUAUAGGUGGGGCUACACACGUCAUACAAUGGCCGGUACAAAGGGUUGCCAACCCGCGAGGGGGAGCUAAUCCCAUAAAGCCGGUCGUAGUCCGGAUCGCAGUCUGCAACUCGACUGCGUGAAGUCGGAAUCGCUAGUAAUCGUGGAUCAGAAUGUCACGGUGAAUACGUUCCCGGGUCUUGUACACACCG